This 440-nucleotide ribosomal RNA is filed under the name uncultured bacterium. Its description in RNAcentral is "partial 16S ribosomal RNA". It matches the Rfam family "Bacterial small subunit ribosomal RNA", at positions 338 to 795 of the family's 1533-position model. The record is from RNAcentral.
CCUACGUGAGGCAGCAGUAGGGAAUAUUGCUCAAUGGGGGAAACCCUGAAGCAGCAACGCCGCGUGGAGGAUGAAGGUUUUCGGAUCGUAAACUCCUGUUGUUAGAGAAGAUAAUGACGGUAUCUAACGAAUAAGCACCGGCUAACUCCGUGCCAGCAGCCGCGGUAAUACGAAGGGUGCAAGCGUUACUCGGAAUCACUGGGCGGAAAGGGAGCGUAGGCGGGAUAGCAAGUCAGAUGUGAAAUCCUAUGGCUUAACCAUAGAACUGCAUUUGAAACUGUUAUUCUAGAGUAUGGGAGAGGUAGGUGGAAUUCUUGGUGUAGAGGUAAAAUCCGUAGAGAUUAAGAGGAAUACUCAUUGCGAAGGCGACCUGCUAGAACAUAACUGACGCUGAGGCGCGAAAGCGUGGGGAGCAAACAGGAUUAGAUACCCGGGUAGUC